UUAACUCUCAAUCAUGUUAUAGUAAAAGAGGAAUUAGAUAUAUCUUGUAAAUAGCGUGACAUAAUAUAUUGGUAUAUGAUUCUUCAUAAAGAGCCAAUAACUCGUCAUGGAUCUCAUUAUCGGUGGGGGCGACUGAAGAACUUCCUUUUAUACUUGCACUACAUGCAACAGUUCUUUCAGACAAUUGAUCAGCAUCAUCAUCUUCAUGUGUAUAUUGUGGGAUGAUUUCACUCUUUCUCUACAUCAUAAAAAUAACAGGAACACACAACAAAAUCAACAAUAUAUAUAUAAUAUUCGCGUAUAC
RNAcentral lists this long non-coding RNA (304 nucleotides) under Lathyrus oleraceus (garden pea). Its description in RNAcentral is "Pisum sativum (pea) long non-coding RNA (PSAT_LNC014798)". The record is from RNAcentral. Lineage: Eukaryota; Viridiplantae; Streptophyta; Magnoliopsida; Fabales; Fabaceae.